Molecule: non-coding RNA, 25 nt
Filed under: Drosophila erecta
Lineage: Eukaryota; Metazoa; Arthropoda; Insecta; Diptera; Drosophilidae
Also listed under: 1 other name
Source: RNAcentral
UCAAAAAGUAAUAGGGAUCGUUAGC